CCGUUUCCAAAAUAUAUACAAGCCCAAUCUUGUACUUGUCUUCCAUACGCACUUUGCGACUUUCAAUAGCUUCCUUCAAAUUGUACACCGUUAUGCCUUUCUUACACUUUUUAAAGUGUUUCUUCACCAAUCUAUCAUUAGACACAAUAUGGGGCUCCAACGAAAGCUCCUCACUAGCUCUCAACCCCUUUAUCAAUGAGAACUCGUAUAAUGAAAAUCAUGUUGGCUUACCUCCAAUUGAAAAUCAGAUCUCAUUUUGUUUUUUGGUUACAAUC
This 275-nucleotide long non-coding RNA is filed under the name Olea europaea (common olive). RNAcentral describes it as "long non-coding RNA (OEUR_LNC002477)". Lineage: Eukaryota; Viridiplantae; Streptophyta; Magnoliopsida; Lamiales; Oleaceae. The record is from RNAcentral.